This 77-nucleotide transfer RNA is filed under the name Kiritimatiellia bacterium. RNAcentral describes it as "Kiritimatiellae bacterium (gut metagenome) tRNA-Asp". It matches the Rfam family "tRNA". Rfam says of the family: Transfer RNA (tRNA) molecules are approximately 80 nucleotides in length. Their secondary structure includes four short double-helical elements and three loops (D, anti-codon, and T loops). Further hydrogen bonds mediate the characteristic L-shaped molecular structure. tRNAs have two regions of fundamental functional importance: the anti-codon, which is responsible for specific mRNA codon recognition, and the 3' end, to which the tRNAs corresponding amino acid is attached (by aminoacyl-tRNA synthetases). tRNAs cope with the degeneracy of the genetic code in two manners: having more than one tRNA (with a specific anti-codon) for a particular amino acid; and 'wobble' base-pairing, i.e. permitting non-standard base-pairing at the 3rd anti-codon position. Lineage: Bacteria; Pseudomonadati; Kiritimatiellota; Kiritimatiellia. The record is from RNAcentral.
GGGGACGUAGCACAAUUGGUUAGUGCACCGGACUGUCGAUCCGGAGGUCGUGGGUUCGAGCCCCAUCGUCCUCGCCA